This 917-nucleotide unclassified non-coding RNA is filed under the name Hevea brasiliensis (rubber tree). Lineage: Eukaryota; Viridiplantae; Streptophyta; Magnoliopsida; Malpighiales; Euphorbiaceae. The record is from RNAcentral.
AGCUAUAACAGAAUCUACUAACUUCCCGCCAACUGAUCCCUUCUACAUUCUUCUAAAACUUAUAGAAAUUACAGUUAUUCUCAUUACAUCAGAUUCUCAUAUCUCUUCCUAUAAUACGUGACAAUCCCUUUUAUUAUUUUUCAAUAGAGAGAUUCAAACCCUUGCUGGGAUGGCAAAUAAAUAAAAGGAAUGCAGUGACAGAAAUGGUGCUGAUCUCUUCUCUUAUGCUAAUUAAAGUGUCCAGUUGUGGUGCUUAGAAUCAAUUCUCUUUUCUUCAAUUCAAUAAUAAUUCAAGUUUCUCUUGGACUGCCUGGUGAACAGUUUAGGCUUGAUUUCAGUUCCCAGCCAAGGUAAAUGAAGGAAGAGAUCUCACUACCCAAUGGAUUACUGGCUUAACCAAGAAAGACAAAUGUAGGCUUUUGAUCCAUUUCACCAGCUGUAGAACUGAAGCCGAAAGUGCUGAUGCUUUAAUCCAUUUAACAGAAGCCUAGAAACCUUUUUAGUAGCAUCUGCAACCAUUUCUUUAAUUUUGUGAUGCUGCAGGAAGCUGGACUAUAGAAUGUAACAACUUUGUGCCUAACCUAUAGCUUCAUUUUAAUAAUUCUAGUAUAAAAUUGUAGUCUUGGCUUAUCAAUGAAGAGAUUUAUUAGCAUUCUAUUCAUCGUUGAUCUGUUUAAAUUUCCACUUUACCUCUUCUCAUAACUUGUCCCUCUCUCCCCUUUUUCUUAAUUUUCUAUUUAAUCUUUGUUGAGGAAUCUAGUUUGACUAUUUAAUAUGUAGUGAAAUCUUUGGUCUAGCAUGGUGAGGAAUUUAAUGUUCUAGACUCUCAUUUGAUGGGGAAAGGUUCAUUGCAGGGAAAAGAGGGGAAACCAUGACCACAAACCACCCCCCCACCCCCAAAGAAAAAAAAAAAAAAA